GGAAGCGUGCCCGAAAAUUAAAGGACCUCCUUGAUAGGGAGGGCUAUAGGGGCUAAUUCCCCUCACUUCCU
Molecule: transfer RNA, 71 nt
Filed under: Ecnomiohyla rabborum (Rabbs' fringe-limbed treefrog)
Lineage: Eukaryota; Metazoa; Chordata; Amphibia; Anura; Hylidae
Description: partial tRNA-Ile
Source: RNAcentral